GGUAACUCUGGAGGCGGAAGUGGCGAAAGGGGCAGUAAUGCAUGGGUAACUUACCCUGGAGUCAGGCAUAGCCGUCCUAACGGACGGGUAAUUCUUGAUGGCCCAGCGUGGUGGCAUCAUCGUGCUGGUAAAGAAUUUCGCUCCUGGAGAGACCCAUGUCGUAUUAGCUAGUUGGUGAGGUAACGGCUCACCAAGGCAGAGAUGCGUAGCGGGUGUGAGAGCACGACCCGCGCCACUGGCACUGAGACACUGGCCAGACACCUACGGGUGGCUGCAGUCGAGGAUCUUCGUCAAUGGGCGAAAGCCUGAACGAGCGACGCCGCGUGCGCGAUGAAGGCCUUCGGGUUGUAAAGCGCGAAAGUGGGGACGAAGCCGAAAGGUUGACCGAUCCACAGUAAGCUCGGGCUAAGUUCGUGCCAGCAGCCGCGGUAAGACGAACCGAGCGAACGUU
Molecule: ribosomal RNA, 451 nt
Filed under: uncultured bacterium
Lineage: Bacteria
Description: bacterial SSU rRNA
Rfam family: Bacterial small subunit ribosomal RNA
Source: RNAcentral